AUUGAACGCUGGCGGCAUGCCUAACACAUGCAAGUCGAACGGAAACGAUGGGAGCUUGCUCCCAGGCGUCGAGUGGCGGACGGGUGAGUAAUGCUUAGGAAUCUACCCAGUAGUGGGGGACAACCAGGAGAAAUUCUGGCUAAUACCGCAUACGCACUACGGUGGAAAGUGGGGGACCUUCGGGCCUCACGCUAUUGGAUGAGCCUAAGUCGGAUUAGCUUGUUGGUAGGGUAACGGCCUACCAAGGCGACGAUCCGUAGCUGGUCUGAGAGGACGAUCAGCCACACUGGGACUGAGACACGGCCCAGACUCCUACGGGAGGCAGCAGUGGGGAAUAUUGGACAAUGGGCGCAAGCCUGAUCCAGCAAUGCCGCGUGUGUGAAGAAGGCCUGCGGGUUGUAAAGCACUUUCAGUAGAGAAGAAAAGCCUAGGGUUAAUAACCCUGAGUCUUGACGUAACCUACAGAAGAAGCACCGGCUAACUCCGUG
RNAcentral lists this ribosomal RNA (488 nucleotides) under uncultured Gammaproteobacteria bacterium. RNAcentral describes it as "bacterial SSU rRNA". It matches the Rfam family "Bacterial small subunit ribosomal RNA", at positions 30 to 507 of the family's 1533-position model. Lineage: Bacteria; Pseudomonadati; Pseudomonadota; Gammaproteobacteria. The record is from RNAcentral.